This 305-nucleotide ribosomal RNA is filed under the name uncultured bacterium. RNAcentral describes it as "bacterial SSU rRNA". It matches the Rfam family "Bacterial small subunit ribosomal RNA", at positions 338 to 660 of the family's 1533-position model. The record is from RNAcentral.
CCUACGGGAGGCAGCAGUGGGGAAUAUUGCACAAUGGGGGAAACCCUGAUGCAGCGACGCCGCGUGAGCGAUGAAGUAUUUCGGUAUGUAAAGCUCUAUCAGCAGGGAAGAAAAUGACGGUACCUGACUAAGAAGCCCCGGCUAACUACGUGCCAGCAGCCGCGGUAAUACGUAGGGGGCAAGCGUUAUCCGGAAUUACUGGGUGUAAAGGGAGCGUAGACGGCAAUGCAAGUCCGGAGUGGAAUGCGGCAGCUCAACUGCCGAACUGCUCUGGAAACUGUAUGGCUUGAGUGCAGGAGGGGUAA